UGGGGAAUAUUGGACAAUGGGGGGAACCCUGAUCCAGCCAUGCCGCGUGUGUGAAGAAGGCCUUAUGGUUGUAAAGCACUUUAAGCGAGGAGGAGGGUACUGGUAUUAAUACUACCAGGUACUGGACGUUACUCGCAGAAUAAGCACCGGCUAACUCUGUGCCAGCAGCCGCGGUAAUACAGAGGGUGCGAGCGUUAAUCGGAUUUACUGGGCGUAAAGCGUGCGUAGGCGGCUAAUUGAGUCGGAUGUGAAAUCCCCGAGCUUAACUUGGGAAUUGCAUUCGAUACUGGUUAGCUAGAGUGUGGGAGAGGAUGGUAGAAUUCCAGGUGUAGCGGUGAAAUGCGUAGAGAUCUGGAGGAAUACCGAUGGCCAAGGCAGCCAUCUGGCCUAACACUGACGCUGAGGUACGAAAGCAUGGGGAGCAAACAGG
This 430-nucleotide ribosomal RNA is filed under the name Pseudomonadota bacterium. RNAcentral describes it as "Proteobacteria bacterium partial 16S ribosomal RNA". It matches the Rfam family "Bacterial small subunit ribosomal RNA", at positions 355 to 776 of the family's 1533-position model. The record is from RNAcentral. Lineage: Bacteria; Pseudomonadati; Pseudomonadota.